RNAcentral lists this long non-coding RNA (5130 nucleotides) under Sus scrofa (pig). RNAcentral describes it as "lncRNA (ENSSSCG00000058372.1)". Lineage: Eukaryota; Metazoa; Chordata; Mammalia; Artiodactyla; Suidae. The record is from RNAcentral.
GGCUCAGCUAGGCUUUGGGGGGUGCGUCUGGAGGAGGGGCAGAACCUUAGCUGAGAAGCUACUGGGGCCUGGCACAUUCUGCUACAUGCUUCACAAACAUGACGCCUUAGUGCCUCACCACUACCCAGGAGGUGGCUGCCACUCUCCCCAUCUCAGGGAAGGAAACCGGAGUGGUCUCAGAGGUGAAAGAAGGUGCCCAAGGAAAUGAUGCUAGGAAGUGCUUGAGCUGGAAUCGAAACUCAUUCAUUCAUUCAUCCAUUCAUUCACUGUAUUUUUACUCUUUAGUAUUUUUGCUGUGUGUGGGGCUAUAGAGACGAGCUGUAACCCUUCUCCCCUCCCUGCUUAUGCUCACAAACAGGCAAGUAGAUAGGAACGAAUCACUACAGCUAGGUUUUUUUAUGAUAGUCCCCGGAUGGGGGUACCGUGAGUGGACCACAAACACUAAAUCGUGGCCAGUUCUACCUCGGGGCAGUGGGUGGAGAAGUGGGAGGGGGACAGGAAAAAUAGAAAACCUUCUCGAAAGGGACCUAUGCAGCCUGGCCUUUUUCUUCCCCUCCCCCGAAUGGCCUCCACAAACAUUGAUGGGGGGAGGGGCCUCUUUAAAUUCCCCCGACUCCUCUGCUCUGGGCCACCUGACUUUACUGUGGCAUCCUGAGGAUCAUUAGAUCAUUGUGAAGUGCCGCGUAUUUCUUGGUAUAUUUGGACAGCCCAAAUGUACAGAAAUCGUCCUUUUUUUCCCUGCUUUCCCAGUUCAACAGAUGAGUUUAAAAUAUGCUCAACCUGAAGAACAAGGAUUUUUUUUUUGAAAUGUGGGGAGCCUGAGGUAUAAAUGGAAAAGAGAUGAAACCCAAAGUAUUUUCAAGGUGUCUUUCUCUGUGUUUCUAUUUUGCAGGUUUUAAAAGCAGAAUUAAAGUGUAAAGAAGAGGGAAAUGGCUCUGAUGCAGCAUUUACAUAAGAAACACAUUCAGAAAAAGAGGCUGUGAUUCUGAAAGUGUCCUUAUUCUACUGCACUAGAAAUCUCCUUUGGGGUGGGGGAGGUUUAAAUUAGCCGGGCGAGGAGGAAAUAAAAACCCCCUUUGCAAAUCACAGAUCUCUCUGAACUGACAAUUUCGCCGGAGGACAUGGCUACACUGGGUUCGGGGAGCACACAAAGCCCUCUUUGAACGACGGCUCCACCUUCUCAAGCCUUUAUUAUAAUUUCCUGCCUCCUACAUCCUCUGGACGAGUCCCGACAGUGCUCCGUGCUCCAUCAUGGGCCUUGAGCAUCUCUCUCAAGGAGGCCCUUGUUUUUAGUGGCUGCGCAGUUUGCCCUAGAAAUGUGUCCACAGGCCAUUUCAUUGACUCCAGAAAUCAAAGGCAGUGGGAAGAGCACAAAAUGCCAUGCACUUCCAUAAGCCCGUCUUAUGAAUGUGGAUUUGCAUGUUUUCUCCAACCUGUGUCAAAUAUUUGCAUGUUCAACUGCAAAGAGUUGUACCUAAUGCUGUCACCUCAGUGUUCUGGGUGUCUCUGGCUGCAUCAUCAACAAGCCUACACUUGGUGACUUAAACAGCAACCGUUUUAUUGUGUAUUGCGCUUUAGUAGCUCAGGAAGCAGGGCCGGGCUCAGCCGUGAGUCCCCUGCUCCAGGUGGUGUCCACUGGGAUCACGUGGUGGUGGCCAGCAGGUGGUAGAGCUGAUCUAGAGGGUCCAAAACUGUUUUACUCACACAUCCGGCACCUUGGCAGCGGUGGCUGGAAGGCUUGACUCCCCGGGCCCCCCUCUCUCCCUGUAGGCCCAAGGCCUCCCUGUGCAGUGAAUAUUUCCAUCAAGGUGGCCAGACAUCUUACCUAGUAGUUCAGGUCUUGAACACCGAGUGUUCUAGGACACACAAAGCUGAAACUGCCAGACCCUAUUAAAGGUCUUUCUUUGCAGACUCAACCUUCCCAACUCCGUCCUCACCCUCUCUCCCUCACCCUGACCCUGCAGACACUGUCACAUCUGCUGCAAUGUAUUAUUGGUCAAAGAACGUCACAGAACAGCCCAGAAUAACAGGGAGGGGACAUUGACCCCACCUCUCUAUGGUUGGAGAAUCAGAGAAUUUGUCUCCACCUCAAACCCAGGGGCCAACUAUACCCCGUAUAGGUAGAGCUGAUUUAGACUUAUUUUUAGUUUAGACUUAUUUUUUCAGGGAGAAGAAUAGACUACACAGAAUCCUUAGGGAAACGUUGACUGAAACCACCUGCCUUGGCCAGGCUCAAUGAUGACCACUUGCGUGGGUUGUCUCACAAUAGGAGCUCUCAAUAAGGAGCUUGGUGCUGUCACCGCACACUAACCAGAGAAUUCGGGAGGGAUCAAAAGGAGGGAAGAGACACCAGCCAGUCAUAUGUCCUGCCAACCUCCCAGAAGCCCUCGCGCUGGGAUCCAUCUUGGCUGGGAGAUGCGCAUGCUGCCAGCAGGGCCCCGAGUCAGACCGAAUAUGGGCAGGAUGAUGGGCAGAAACAACCUAGGAACCAACUCCUCCUCUGUAAAACCCAAGACGGUGAGCACAUGGCAGAGCAGUUCCCUGGGGUUCCCUUUCUCUGCUGCUCUCCGUCCUGGCGCCUAUUCCCAAAGAUUCUUUUGCUUUAUCAGUACAUGUACCUCCUUGGACAGUUCGUUUUCAAAUGUUUGACAAGAGCCUCUUCUCGGGCCCUGGAAAUGGUCCCCCUUCUAGUAACAGAAUCAUAGAAUCUGAGAUUUGGAACAGAUCUCAGGACCUUUAAUAGGGUCUGGCAGUUUCAGCUUUGUGUGUCCUAGAUCAUUCAACAUCCUCAUUUUACAGGUAAGCAAAGCUAAGAGAGGUCUAACAACCUGAGAGAGACCACAGCCCCUGGUUGCAAAGGCGAGCCUCAAACCCCGGGGUUUCUGACCCCAAGUUCAAGAAGAAACUUACUGAAUGCCCACUCGCUUCACAGGGCCGCCAGUUACCCAGAGGAAGAGACCCAAAGUUGAAUCGUAGGCUGCUCUUCUUGGUAUCUAAGAGUUUACAAGUCCCUGGCGAGGAAGAGACAAGGCAUUAAAGUAAUACAGGAAAGUGACAAUUGCAAUUAAUAUGCCAUGAAAUUCUACAGAGGAAUCAAUCUAAUUGGGCGAGAGUGUUUAGGAAGGGAUUUCUGAAGGCCUGGGUUUGAUACAGGUCUUCAAGGAUGGGUGAAACUUUUUUUUUUAAAUGGUUGCACCUGUAGCAUAUCGAAAUGUCUGGGGGCGGGGAUUGAAUCUGAGCCACAGCUGCCUCAACGCCAGAUCCUUUAAUCCACUGUGCCAGGCCAGGGAUUGAACCCGCAUCUUUGCAGUGACCCACGUCACUGCAGUCGGAUUCUUAACCCACUGCGCCCUAGCGGGAGCUCCUGUGUAAAACUUUUGCCUGGUGGUGGUAUAGCAGGAGGCUGCUCCAGCCAGAGUACAGGGUGAGUAAAAGGUGUGACUUGACAGCCCAGGAGGAGUGUGCGUGUUGGGGUGAGGAGUGAGAACUUAAUUCUGCAUCAUCCACACGCUGACCCCGUCACACUGGAGAACCAGGGUACACGCUGUUUGUAUCGAUGUCCAGACCUGCACAGAGCCGGUGGUUGGUUUACUGAGAUGCUUUAUAGUUAACCCUCCUAUGCGAGCAGGAUCAGCUUUCUGUUCUAGCUCUGCCGUUCUUACUACUGGCCAAACCUUAGAAUCUCUGUGAAUGCCUUGGUCCCACCCCAGAAUGACCAGGUUAGAUUCUCUGGAAUGGGACUUGGGUACCGAUUUUUUUUAUUAUUAUUAUUAUUGAAUUCUUCAGGUGCUUUGAUUAUCCGUCAGCUGUGAUUCUCAAAUGUUAGUGCGCAUUGGAAUCCCAUGGAGGACUUAUCAAAACAUGGAUUACUGGGUCCCACGCCCAGAGCUUCUGGUUUAGAAGCUCUGGGGAUGGGGCCCAAGAAUUAGCAUCUCUAACAAACUCCUGAGUGAUGCCCAUGGUGCCUAUCCCUGGACCGCACUUUGAGAACCACUGCUCCAGAUGGUUGACCUAUCCAUUUACACUUGUGUCUACCUCCUUGGAAAUUUCUCUUGCAAAGAGAACGGAAGUGGCAGACUGCCUAGCCCACAGGUCUGCUACUCAAAGGCGGUCCAUGGGCCAGAAGCAUUGGCGUCACCUGGGAGCUGGUCAGAAAGGCAGACUCUCAAGCCACAUCCCAGACCUGGGAAAUCAGAAUCAGCAUUUUAACGGGAUUACCCAAGUGAUUUGAAGGCAUAGUUCAGUUUGACAAGCUCUGUUUUGAGCCAGGUUCUGAGAGUUGAUUCCUCUUAGAUGCCUGAAUCUUGAGGGUCUCACAAGAUGGGCAGAGGGCCCAUCCCCAGGCACAGCAGUUCUAAUGACUCACUGGAGAUGGGCACUGCACCACUGGUGACACAGGGACUCACCUGAGCUUUUUAACACAAUGAAUCUGGAUGAUCGUGGCUAGAUAACAAACGUAACACGUCUGGGGUUUUGUGGGGGUUUGUUUCUGUUUUUGUUUUGCCUUUCACAGUUUCUGAAGCCCUCUCACCUAUGAUCUAGUUCUAUAUCUAUUUAAAGAUGUUGAAAUACCCAAGUCAAGCACAAGAGAGACAAACCUAAUCACUUAACUAUCUGGAGUACCAGCUACUUCAAAUUACCUUCCCUCCUACCAGUGGGUGGCCACAGGCCAUUUUCACAGCAUUUGGCCCAGUUCCGGACUAGACUAAGUUUCCAUUUUGAAAUCAGGUAUUGAUGACUUCUUUCACAGUGCUCUCAGAACUAAAUGCCCCCAGCUGGCUCUGAGUGUCUCGCCUAAGGAGAUCUUUCUUCCUUUUUACAAUGUGGUGGAGGGUUAAUGAUUCAUUUGGCAAAGGUUCACCCAAGUGGGUUUGGAAUUUGCCUUAUUUUCGGGUGGCUGGCACCAAAGUAGCUACACUGAUACAUUAGUACUGGCAGGACACUGCAAGCCUUCCCCACCCCUCCCAGCAUCCCAGACCCCUUGCCUUAGCUUCUAAUCCAAUUAGUUCAGUUUAAUCCCUUUCAGGGCCAGGCCACUGCUCUGUCUCAUUCCCAUUUGAGUCCUUCUGUCUCCUUUUGCCAAUCUCAUGAUCAAUUGGAUUAUUCUAAAAUCUCUAGCUUGGUCUUUCC